CAACAUAUUUUCCCUUUUUCCUCAUAUUCAUUUAGUUUCGUGUUUUUGGUACGUAGUGUUACUCAGUUCCUAUCAAGGGGCAUUCCGUUCGUAUGCAACUCUUGGAUCGUCCGAUCGCUCGACACCUGACUGAGGAACACUAUGCCGUAAUUUCUGAUUGAUCCCUCUCCUUUUUCAAGCUUUGCAUUUGUUUGUUUUCUUGAUAACCACUGUGUUGUGUCUGAUUCAGUUUGUGGUCACCUCUAGGGGUACCUGCUACCUCUGUCAACCAAGCGGUAUUAUUACAAGGUUUUCCCCCCUGAACACUUCAGCUCUUCAUUUGGGUGGGGCCUUAGUAGAUGUCCAUAGUAAAGAGACUAGCAUGUUAUUGUCACAUGGUCGGUGUGAGCGGUUAGCCUCGGUGGGGAGCAGGAGGGUAGAGGUAGGCCUAACAAGUCUUGGAGAGAGCUUAUUAGGCGGGACAUUGCGCAGCUGGAGCAGACUGAGGACAUGUCCCUGGACAGGAGGGUGUGAAGGCUUUGCUUGUAUACUGGAGCUACUAGCAGCACCCUUUUACAUCUUGUCUCAGAAUCUACUUCUCCUCAAAUCGCGGCUGAUAGUUGAAACUGCAGCUACCCUUUCACAUUGCUUAACUAUCUACUUCCUCUUUGUAAAGCUACCUGACAUGGGGCUUGCAUCUGGACAAAGCUUUAAUAGCUUGGUGAGCCUGUUUGGAAGGGGCUAGCUUCUGAAGCCAAGCCCAUGCCUUACCUAGCAACUCAUCAAAUGGGAAUGGAUUUUGGUCACUUGUAAUGACAAGACACCUUUUGUGCUUGUGUUCUUAAGCUUAAGGAUUUGUAGACCGAUCAGGAUGAGGCAAAUUCUUCGUUCUCUGAAGGACAAUUAGGAGAUGUCAAUUAUAAUGCUGCAAGUUCCUGUAUAUCUAAAGAAGGAAGCUUCCAAUUCCCGAACCCCCGUCUAACUUGGAUUCUGAACCCCUGCCAAUCAAGAAACUGUCUGGACGUCCUUGCAACACAUGCUGCUGCAGCUGCCGCGUUAUGUCUUUGGUUUCAUCUGUCAGCGGUAUUUCAUUAGUACAAGCUUUCAUCUUAAAGAACUAGUUUCAAAAGCACUGCCAGUAUGUUGAGGAACUAGCUAAAUGGAGCAUGGUUAUCCUCAUGUUCCUUGACUGAUAGAGAGAUAUGACAUUUAGGAUCAUUUACUCCACACUAUUCAUCAGGAGCUAUUUCCAGGAUUCACCCUCAUUUUCUUUUGAUGGGUGCCUGCCUUCUAGUUGGACCAUUCUUCUUCUUUGUGGACUCAUCACUCUAAUCUCGGAAAAAGAUAUUUUUGGAACACUUGUCCGUGGGAAUAACCUCUUUCGCUGUAGCAGCCUUUAUUAUCUAUCAUUACAAAAGGAGCUUUAUCAACAAAAUCAUACUUUUCCGGGGCAUGCUGACUGAAGAAUAAAGUCACUCUAGCGAGAUCAAUUUACCCUGCCAUCAAUUCUCAGACUUAUGGAUGCUUUAUCUUGAGGUUCGCUUUGACAUGGUACCUCUGUGUGCUGGUAAAACCGUGAGUUUAGCUAAAGCAUGAUUAGCAUUUAUUCUUUAAACGGAGAUGGUAUUCAACUCGUUAAUGCUUAUAAUCAUUGUUUGAUUGCAAAUAGAAGUCAAGUUUUACUGGGUAUGGGGAAAUUUCUCUUCUUCUGAUGUUUUAUUAACUGGUUCAUUUUCCUUCUAUUUUAGCUUUAAGAUUUGCUGCAAGCAGGUUUGUGACUCAUUUGGUUCCAUGGAAAAUUUAAGUGAUGCUGGGAUCCGUGAUAUAGUUAUUCAGAUUGAUGAUUAGGCCCUUCUCCAAUUCAGAAGGAUGUACAACAACAAUAACAAACCCAGUGUAAUCCCAUAGGUGUGGGGUAUGUGAAGGGUAAUGUGUACGCAGACCUUACCCCUACCUUGUGAAGGUAGAGAGGUUGUUUCCGAUAGACCCUCGACUCAAGGGACAGUGAAAAUAGAGUAACAAACAGUAACAACAACAAUGCAAUAGGGGCAAAUGGCACAACAUGUAACAAAAUAGAACCAGGAAUAAGAGAAAUACAAAAAUAGUACUAGUACUACUGGUAAUACUAAGAGACACUAGCGAAUACCUGUCAUCCUUCCACCCUAAUUCUCAAUCUGCACCCUUUUCUAUUGAGGGUCAUGUCUUCCGUAAGCUGGAGCAAUAACAUGUCCUACCUAAUCACCUCACCCCAAUACUUUUUAAGCUUACCCCUACCCUUCCUAAGGCCCGUCAUGCACAACCCCUCACACCUCCUGACUGGGGCAUUUAUGUCUCUCCUCUGCACCUGCCUGAAAUAUCUCAGCCUCGAUUCCCACAAUUUGUCCUCCACCGAGGCAACACCCGCCUUUUCCCUAAUAACUUCGUUCCUAAUUUUGUCUUUUCUGGUAUGCUCACACAUCCAUCUCAAUAUCCUCAUUUCAACUACCUUCAUCUUCUGGACAUGAGACUUCUUGACGGGCCAACA
Molecule: non-coding RNA, 2503 nt
Organism: Nicotiana tabacum (common tobacco)
Lineage: Eukaryota; Viridiplantae; Streptophyta; Magnoliopsida; Solanales; Solanaceae
Source: RefSeq, a predicted model, not a curated record